AUUGAACGCUGGCGGCAGGCCUAACACAUGCGAGUCGAGCGGAUGAAGGGAGCUUGCUCCUGGAUUCAGCGGCGGACGGGUGAGUAAUGCCUAGGAAUCUGCCUGGUAGUGGGGGAUAACGUCCGGAAACGGGCGCUAAUACCGCAUACGUCCUGAGGGAGAAAGUGGGGGAUCUUCGGACCUCACGCUAUCAGAUGAGCCUAGGUCGGAUUAGCUAGUUGGUGGGGUAAAGGCCUACCAAGGCGACGAUCCGUAACUGGUCUGAGAGGAUGAUCAGUCACACUGGAACUGAGACACGGUCCAGACUCCUACGGGAGGCAGCAGUGGGGAAUAUUGGACAAUGGGCGAAAGCCUGAUCCAGCCAUGCCGCGUGUGUGAAGAAGGUCUUCGGAUCGUAAAGCACUUUAAGUUGGGAGGAAGGGCAGUAAGUUAAUACCUUGCUGUUUUGACGUUACCAACAGAAUAAGCACCGGCUAACUUCGUG
Molecule: ribosomal RNA, 484 nt
Filed under: uncultured bacterium
Lineage: Bacteria
Description: partial 16S ribosomal RNA
Rfam family: Bacterial small subunit ribosomal RNA
Source: RNAcentral